This 505-nucleotide ribosomal RNA is filed under the name uncultured bacterium. Its description in RNAcentral is "partial 16S ribosomal RNA". It matches the Rfam family "Bacterial small subunit ribosomal RNA", at positions 28 to 507 of the family's 1533-position model. The record is from RNAcentral.
GACGAACGCUGGCGGCGUGCCUAAUACAUGCAAGUCGAACGCACAGUUUAUACCGUAGCUUGCUCCACCAUAGACUGUGAGUUGCGAACGGGUGAGUAACGCGUAGGUAACCUGCCUGGUAGCGGGGGAUAACUAUUGGAAACGAUAGCUAAUACCGCAUAAUAUUAAUUAUUGCAUGAUAAUUGAUUGAAAGAUGCAACUGCAUCACUACCAGAUGGACCUGCGUUGUAUUAGCUAGUAGGUGAGGUAACGGCUCACCUAGGCGACGAUACAUAGCCGACCUGAGAGGGUGAUCGGCCACACUGGGACUGAGACACGGCCCAGACUCCUACGGGAGGCAGCAGUAGGGAAUCUUCGGCAAUGGACGAAAGUCUGACCGAGCAACGCCGCGUGAGUGAAGAAGGUUUUCGGAUCGUAAAGCUCUGUUGUAAGAGAAGAACGGGUGUGAGAGUGGAAAGUUCACACUGUGACGGUAUCUUACCAGAAAGGGACGGCUAACUACGUG